CAGCAGCCGCGGUAAUUCGGAGGGGGCUAGCGUUGUUCGGAAUUACUGGGCGUAAAGCGCACGUAGGCGGCUUGGUAAGUUAGAGGUGAAAGCCUGGAGCUCAACUCCAGAAUUGCCUUUAAGACUGCCGAGCUAGCAGGUGAGAGAGGUAAGUGGAAUUCCGAGUGUAGAGGUGAAAUUCGUAGAUAUUCGGAAGAACACCAGUGGCGAAGGCGGCUUACUGGCUCAUACUGGACGCUGAGGUGCGAAAGCGUGGGGAGCAAACAGGAUUAGAUACCCCCGUAGUCCCUGUCUCUUAUAC
RNAcentral lists this ribosomal RNA (301 nucleotides) under uncultured bacterium. Its description in RNAcentral is "partial 16S ribosomal RNA". It matches the Rfam family "Bacterial small subunit ribosomal RNA", at positions 509 to 807 of the family's 1533-position model. The record is from RNAcentral.